AUAAAAUGGCAACGAUAUAAGCGCAGAACGUAUUACGAUAUUAUAAUCUAUGCCGCAUAGUGGACUCUGUGUACUGUUUAUUUUAUUUCAGGGCUUCAGAGCCACAACAGCAGCAAUGAUUGCUGGACUGCUGGAUGGUGGACUGGAGUGAACCUUUGGAGGAGCAGGGAGCUCCAAAAUGUCUAGCUACCAUGGCCUUGUCUGAUGUUUUGGAAGGAACUUGAUAUGAUGGAUGAACCAGAUUACCAUGUUACCUUGGAGCAGAUCUACUUCCAUCUCAUCUAGACUCUACAAUGCUAGCUAAAUGUUUCAUGAUAUAUCACAUAAACUGUUAUGACAUUUCAUAUUUAUGAACAGAAUGAUUAUACUUCAAUCUGAUAGCGUGUUAUAUAAAUGAAAUAUUAUAUUGAAUCUACUAUGAUGUCAGGCUAAAGCACUUUGAAAAGUUUGUAACCAGAAAUGAACUUUCAUCUGGCCAGGCCAAAUACCAUUCAAGCAAAGGCAGUCUGUCAGUACCAAACAGUAAGUUUGAUUCUCUGUAAACAUAAAUGUUACCUAGCUGA
Molecule: long non-coding RNA, 563 nt
Organism: Schistocerca americana (American grasshopper)
Lineage: Eukaryota; Metazoa; Arthropoda; Insecta; Orthoptera; Acrididae
Exons: 3
Source: RefSeq, a predicted model, not a curated record